This 75-nucleotide transfer RNA is filed under the name Candidatus Wolfebacteria bacterium. RNAcentral describes it as "tRNA-Asn". It matches the Rfam family "tRNA". Rfam says of the family: Transfer RNA (tRNA) molecules are approximately 80 nucleotides in length. Lineage: Bacteria; Candidatus Wolfeibacteriota. The record is from RNAcentral.
UCCGGAGUAGCUCAGUGGUAGAGCGACCGCCUGUUAAGCGGUUGGUCGUAGGUUCGAUCCCUACCUCCGGAGCCA